GCCCCGCGAGGCCCGCGGACCCCCCCGUGGGGGGGCAGGCGGCCCCCAUGUUCGCCACCCUGGUGCCGCUGCUGGCACGGGGCCUGGCGUCGUGGGGGUGCAGACCGUGCGCGCGUCUGCGGCCGGCGUCAGCUGGGCCCGCUGGGGCGCAGCCGAGGCAGCGGGGGCUGGGGCGGGGGAUGGCCUGCAAGCCGCCCGCAAACACCUGCAGCGCCCCGGCCCCACCGUCGUUCACGGUCGUGCCGUGCUCGUGCUGUGACGAGGAGCGCGUCAUGGAGUUCAUGCAAAGGACUUUCUACCGCGAGGAGCCCGUCCUGGUGGCAGCGGGGCUUGCCGAGUGCCCGCCGCAGGUGCUGCUGGACCACACGCGGGCCUCCUUCCGGGAGGGGCUGUCCCUGAUGGCCGUGCUGCAGGGCAGUGCCGGCGGCCAGGGCGACAUCUGCGGGGUGGCCGUCAACAGCAUCGUGGCGCCCGGGGACGCCUGCAAGCUGCGGCAGCAGGCCGAACAGGCCGACUGCCCGGCCACGCGCCGCGUGCUGGAGCUGUGGUCCUUGAUGCUGGAGCGUCCAGAGAUCUGGAGCGGCCAGGACCCGGAGGGCUGCUGCAUGCUGGAGUUGCGGGAGCUGGCCACGGACCAGGCGGUGCGCGGCCUCGGGGUGGGGCUGCAGCUCGCCCUGGCCGCGAGGGAGGUGGCCGCCGACGUCGGAGCGCCCGCGUACAAGAUAGACUGCACCAGUCAGUACAGUGGCAAAAUUGCGGAAAAGCUCGGGAUGAAGAAGGUGUUCUCGUUGAAGUACGCUGACUUUCUUGACUCCGACGGCAAACCCCUGUUCCAGCCACCGUGUCCGCACGUGGAGGCCGCGGUCUACGUUCAGAGCAUGUCGAAGGAUUGUCAGCAUAAGUUUGGAGGCGAACUGUAAGCGACAACUUUGUAGAACGAUGAGGCAGCAGCGCUCAUCGCCCAGGAGCAAGACCAUCACCAGGAUCUCACAAAAACACCUUCGCCUCGAGAUUUGGGACGCCGAUGGAUCUAGGGCCUGGAGCCACGGGUCGCAGCACACCCACCGGUGCCUUGGGGCGCGCUUGGGAGUCGCCGGGACAUUUGACUGUCGCCUCCUUGCGUAACGCGGCGCUUGUCCGAAUGGUCUGUUGGCCCCAUGACUUAACCAAUCGACGACCAAUUAUAUUCCGGCUGGGCAGUUCCGCCUGCAGGCGUGUGGUCUUUUCCACCCACGCCGCCGAGUCGCUUCUCUUCCAUGAUCGGCACAUUUACGGAGUGGCGCGCGUCCUCCAGUCAUCGCCUGGAGGCUGACGGCCGAGUCAGUUCCCCGUGGAAAGGGCCACGCCCCACGCCAUUGUAGAAUUAGUUCCUCUCGACGUCUUCCGAUUUUUCCGCAGCGGCGUUUGCGUCGGCAGCGGCAGGCAGGGGUGGGUGUGACUUGUCCCGCAGCGCCGCGGCGCCCGCGUGCGUGGGUCAGGGUGUGGUGGACUUCCCUCACUGGGAUUGCCCGCAUCAGCGGGAAAUCCUCAGCCAGCCAUACGCAUGGCGCCCCAUCUCUGUGCACGCUGAAAAUUGUUCCUU
Frankliniella occidentalis (western flower thrips) is the source of this 1582-nucleotide RNA transcript. It is a transcript of the gene named arylalkylamine N-acetyltransferase 1-like, with no coding region annotated. The transcript is spliced from 8 exons. Lineage: Eukaryota; Metazoa; Arthropoda; Insecta; Thysanoptera; Thripidae. The record is from RefSeq and is a predicted model, not a curated record.